CGGGGUUUGUGCUUGUCUGUGCAGCGCCGAGCACCUGGCUGGCCCUGCGCAGUGCUAUGGCUUUCCUGAGCGUGGCCUGGCAGUUCCUYGGGGCUGUAGAGCCCUGCUGUGGGCUAGUAGCAGGCCAGGGUUCUCCAGGCCCUAGUGCCUUGGUGGUCCCAGUGCUGUUGCUGGGCCUGAGGGCCUGUCCUGGCCGGGCACCCUGGCCACCUCCCUGCAGGARCAGGCCCUUCUCUGCUGUGUGCCUCAGGCACCUGCCCAGGCACGCUUCAGAUCUGUCUCACUGUUGGCUGCAGAUGGCCGCUGAGGUGUUUGGGUGGUGGCACUGUGAGUGGUGGCCCAGCCCAUGGUGGCAGAGCUGUUACUGCUGCCUUGACCUGCUCACAGYAAGGGUAGAGCCUGGCAGCGCCUCUUCUGCUAUGUCCUGUGGUGCAGAGGCUGUGCUACAGCUGUGCAAGAUGUGAUAACAAACCGAUGGGCAGGUGUGGYUAUAAGACAAACUAUGUGUGCUCUUGAUGACUGGUAAGGAUACUGGAUUCUUGUGGCACUUCCUUUUCCCUCUCUUGGCCUUCUGCUUGCAGCCAUUAUCUCAAAAGUUGCAGCAACAUAAUAACAGAUUUAUCUCUGUCUUAGUCAAAAACUUUUUCCUCACAAAUAUUAGUUUGACAGACUUCAAGGGAGAAUUUCAGGUAUUUUUGAAGUGUUUGGUUUUUUUUUGUUCUUUAGCUGCUCUUUUACCCCAAGUAAACUGGUCGUAUAUUAAAAAAACAAAACAAAAAAACAACAACAAAAACCCACUGAAUCAUCCAGGAGUCUUACAUCCUGAUAAAAUGUUUAGACCAGUGAAACUAUGCCAGGCAGAAAUUAUGCAAGUUCUCUGGAGCCACUUUGUCAAUCAGGUGACUGCUUGAGUAAUUGAGAAUAUUUCAAGGUAGUUGUUUUCCAGGUGUAACAGAGAAAAGUGCUGUGCUGGUUACUACAUAAAGUGCAAUUGUCUUUACUCUUAUACAGAUCUACUUUGGGCUACUGAGAUGCUGUUUCCUUGAUCUAGGUUACUAAUUAAAGCCCUUAUAACACUGGAAAGUAUUCCAUCAGGACUGGGGGCUUCUGGAGCUUUGUCUACUUCAUUAGCUGAGGGGGGGUUAUCAACAGAUGACAAGCGGUUCCUACUCGGUCAUUGAAGGCUGCAUAAGUAUGUAUAAAGAGCAGCUCAACAAAAAGAAUAUGUUCUACCUGUGUGCUAGCAGUUUGUUUCUUUCACAAAAGCAGGGUGCACCUAUCAAAGCUACAAAGGAGAGUUAAUCCACUGAUGUUGGGACCAUGCAUGCACAGCUUUUAUCUUUUUGUAAAAGCACUUGAUGGUCUGUAUGCCAGUAAAGACCGGAUCUCCUAUUCUUAGACUUCCRCCAUGCAACCUUCACUUCUUGUGGGUGUGUCUGGGUUUUAAGGUUGUACAUAAGACUUAAAAUGUUCCUGGAGCUUUGAUGUGUCAUUGAGAAGUCUAAUGUGUGAGGUGUGUAUUAGAGAGCAGCUAUUUGAUCUUGCUUUUAUCUGCAUCAGGCUGGCCUUGAUGCUUAAUUUGACAUAGCUGCUGAUUCAGGUGAAGCAAACAAGGCUCUUUAAGACCUGACCAUUAUACCUUUAUGCUGCAGCCUUUAAAAUUGGCCAGCUUAGUUUGGAGUUGUACUUAUGCUUUGAAACUAGCAACUGUGAUGGCCUUCCUUAAUAUGUUGACAUCAAGCUGCUGAACAGCAUGCCAGGGUGCGUAUGCAGUGAGUAAGGAUGGAUAGUUUAGAACUCAAAAGUCAAAGAUCAGCGGUCAGCUCACACAAAGCCCAGUUUAUACAAAGAUUGUUUAAAUCUCUGUCCAAUGGUAAGAAAAUCAAUCGUGAUGCUGCUAGGAGCUAAGGUGUCCAAGCUACAAAACUGUUUUUCCUUGUUGUGUGACUGGUGGAAAAUAGACCUUCAUAACUAAUACUGUUUCACAGAUAAUCAGUUUAUGGAUCAGUUGGAGAUGUACCAGUGACAUGUAUCAGUGCUGCCUGUCAUUGAAAACUUAGUGUCCAUCUCUGAAGUGAUAAAGAUGUUUAGAUAUUACAGUAAAAUCUGCCUGCCAAAGGAGAAAUGGAAGAUGCAUUCUCACAUGAACACAGAUCAGUGUGAUACCACAGGGUCUUCUGAUUUUACAAUUUUUGUUGCAUAGCUUCCCUCCAUCUUGUUUUUACAGUGAAUAUAAUGACCUUUUAGCUCUGCUUUUGUAUGAUUUCUCUUUACAGUUCUUAUGUGUGCUUGAGUCAUUAUUAUUGCAUAUGCUGUCACGUCUGCUGCGUUUUCACAGAUGAUGUAUAAUCUCCUUAUCAGUAACUAUCCCCUCAUCUUGGUUAUAUUACUGGAAGCAACAACAUCUCUAGCACAAAGGAAAACAGUUUCUGUAGUACAUGCAAAAUAAAAUACUUACAAUUAUUUCA
Molecule: long non-coding RNA, 2468 nt
Organism: Apteryx rowi (Okarito brown kiwi)
Lineage: Eukaryota; Metazoa; Chordata; Aves; Apterygiformes; Apterygidae
Source: Ensembl